GUGACUGCGUACCUUUUGUAUAAUGGGUCAGCGACUUAUAUUCUGUAGCAAGGUUAACCGUAUAGGGGAGCCGUAGGGAAACCGAGUCUUAACCGGGCGUUAAGUUGCAGGGUAUAGACCCGAAACCCGGUGAUCUAGCCAUGGGCAGGUUGAAGGUUGGGUAACACUAACUGGAGGACCGAACCGACUAAUGUUGAAAAAUUAGCGGAUGACCUGUGGCUGGGGGUGAAAGGCCAAUCAAACCGGGAGAUAGCUGGUUCUCCCCGAAAGCUAUUUAGGUAGCGCCUCGUGAAUUCAUCUCCGGGGGUAGAGCACUGUUUCGGCUAGGGGGCCAUCCCGGCUUACCAACCCGAUGCAAACUGCGAAUACCGGAGAAUGUUAUCACGGGAGACACACGGCGGGUGCUAACGUCCGUCGUGAAGAGGGAAACAACCCAGACCGCCAGCUAAGGUCCCAAAGUCAUGGUUAAGUGGGAAACGAUGUGGGAAGGCCCAGACAGCCAGGAUGUUGGCUUAGAAGCAGCCAUCAUUUAAAGAAAGCGUAAUAGCUCACUGGUCGAGUCGGCCUGCGCGGAAGAUGUAACGGGGCUAAACCAUGCACCGAAGCUGCGGCAGCGAC
This 618-nucleotide ribosomal RNA is filed under the name Salmonella enterica. Its description in RNAcentral is "partial 23S ribosomal RNA". It matches the Rfam family "Bacterial large subunit ribosomal RNA", at positions 593 to 1212 of the family's 2925-position model. The record is from RNAcentral. Lineage: Bacteria; Pseudomonadati; Pseudomonadota; Gammaproteobacteria; Enterobacterales; Enterobacteriaceae. RNAcentral also lists the same sequence under 1 other name.